Molecule: long non-coding RNA, 2232 nt
Filed under: Paramuricea clavata
Lineage: Eukaryota; Metazoa; Cnidaria; Anthozoa; Malacalcyonacea; Plexauridae
Source: RNAcentral
AGGCAUCUCUAUAGCACUCAUAUUUGGAUUGGUUUGAAUGAUCUUGGCACUGAAGCUAACUAUAAAUGGACUGAUGGUUCUACAUAUAAUUACGCUAACUGGGACCAUGGAGGACCGGAUGACGUGUUUCGACAAGAACAUUGCAUACAUCUGGAGUGGGAAGGAACGUGGAAUGACAAUCACUGUCAGUACAAAUAUUCGUAUAUCUGCAAGGCAUAUAAUGGUAUGUGUACAUACGCUCCCAUUUUAAUAUUUAAAAUGUUACACGUUACUUCACCGUCUUGUUAAAAUGCACAUGUAUUCGAAAUUCACAUAAAUUCCAAAGAAAUGAAAUCGACUGUCCAGAAAUGAUCUCUUCACCAUUGAUAUGUAUGUCCACAUAAUUUAUACACAAUGUACAUUGUAUGCAAAUGGCAAAUGUGUACUGCGCGGUGUGCCAAGUGUAGGUAUAGUACCACUAAUAACAAAAUUUGUAGGUAGGGACACAAGUGCACUGUUAAUUUCAUAGAGAUAUUUAAUUCCACCUGAGAGUUAAAAUUUGGGAGUAAAAAUUCGAAGUGUAAUUUACUCAAAAAUGGAGUUAAAAGUACUUUGUUUCCAACAUAUAUAUUCUACACUGGGAAUAAAUGCAUGCAGUUAAAGGAGUAAAAUAACGGAAUAAAUUUUACUUUUUAUUUUUCCGGUCAGCAAUCUCAGGUCCGUAGCGUAAGUGGAUCUUCUGAUUGGUUGACAAACGUCCAUAUCACACAUUACGGACCUUUCGCAUUUCGCGCCAAAACAAACAGAGGAGUGAAGACAAAUUUCAAACAAAAUAAAUUAUCUAAAAAGUUGAAAAACCUUCCCUAUCGAUACUAAAGGUGGGAAAAUAUGCUGAACUGACUUCAAUGGAUUUAAUAUCAAGCUAACCUGAAGUUCAGGCCCUAAUCACAGCAUAGGGCCUGACACAAAACCUGUCUAAACUGCGGAAUUCCCGUCCAUCUGGUGGAAUGGAAAACUGAUUGGAUUAUCAGCGUCAUGAAAGAUUUUGAUUGGUUGCAAGUUCACAUAAACAACAGUUUUAAAAAUAGCUCGGUCAAGGGCUAAAGGCGAUAAUUAAUAUAAAGGUCAAACGCACCUAACAAAUCCAUGAUCGAUUUCUUAGAAUUUCUUUUCUUUUAUGCUUUAUGGCAGAAAAUAAAUCGAACAAACAGUAUUUUGAAAGGGCUUUGUCAAAAUCUUUGACGAAUUUUGGAAAAACGACGCUGAAAGUACAGCCAAACUAGUCCGAUUCUAUAGCUUGCUGUUGACAGCCAAGAUGUUCUGUCAACUGGCUUCGCCGGCAAAAGUCUUAUUUUAAAUACAGGUCCUACCGGUGUUGUUUUCUGAGCUACAUCGGCUUCUUCGUGAUACGAUUGAGAAUUUCAUUGUUGCUGUUGUUAGCCCGUUAGAGCAUAUCCGCGUCCAGCAAGUUGAGAUCUUGAGAAAGCUUGGCAGUCAAGCCGUGCACAGAGCUGACUAAUUAAAUCUUUGUUUUCUGUUCGAGAGAAACUGACUCUUAAUUAUAUAAAAGUACCUUGAAUUUUUAAGUUUAAUUAAAAAGCAAAAUGCACACUCUGCGGACAUGUUCAUGAGAAUAUAAAGUUUUUGUGUAACGAAAUCUACAAUACUUGUCAAUCAUAUUGUAUGCUGUGUCUAAAAAUAACAUGUGGGCGUCCCACGGUCUAGACAGGUUUUUAGUCAGACUCUAUUCUGUGAUUAGGGUCUGAACUUCAGGUUAAUAUCAAGCCCGCAAUGUAUUUUUCCCAAUCUAAAUGCAAAAUUCCUCUUUGCCUUCAGAGUCUCUUUCUUAACCACGUAAAAAUGUAUUUACCCACCUUUUCACCAACUUACGGCACAUCAUGAUGACCAAAUUACUACAUUAAUUGACACAUUCGGGCUGGUGCGCCUACAGCAGACUCCCACUAACUGCUAGUUUCCACAUUUAAAGUUCACCUACUCCAAGGUAUAUCUCUUUCUAUGAGGGCACCUCUGCUGACAAAUUAUUCAAAGAUAUACUGGUGAGAAAAGAAUAGCUUGUAUAUGAACAAUGUCGUGCAUAAAUUGUCAUAAACCAAGAACUAAGAAUUUACUGAAAUAAUUAAUUUAUUUUAAAUCCUCAGAAAAUGUUAAUGUUGCUACUCAUGCUUAUUUUUUUUCUUUUAGAGUCGUAUAAACCACCCAUAAAACCGACAGAACAACAAAGACCUGAAAAGU